ACACUCUCUGUCCCUCCUUAGAGGAGAUCAAGACAUUGAAUCAGUCGCUGCAGGACAAAUCCGCGGAGCUGCAGGACAAAUCCGCAGAGCUGGAGAAACUAAGAAAAGAGAAUGAGGCCUUGGUCUCUGCCAAGGACCCUCCCAACUCUGGGAUCACCCUCCAUCUCUCUGUGGCCACCGUGCUCCUGUCCCUGAGCCUCCUGGCUCUGCUGGUCUGAGGUCCCAGGAAGCCUGCAGGGAAAGCACAUUCUAACCUGGCUGAGAGUUGUACACCCAGGGACAUGGGGAUUAACCUCAGAAUGCAGUCCAGGCUCCUUUUCUGAGAGUUUCCUGUCAUCUUGGAAAGAUAACAACCUGGUCCCAGAGCAGUUGGCAAUCCAUCCUAAUAAACGUUCAUAAAAUUCAA
Long non-coding RNA from Myotis brandtii (Brandt's bat), 406 nucleotides. RefSeq lists it as uncharacterized. The record is from RefSeq and is a predicted model, not a curated record. The transcript is spliced from 3 exons. NCBI's taxonomy places the organism in Eukaryota, Metazoa, Chordata, Mammalia, Chiroptera, Vespertilionidae.